AUGGCAGUGGCGCAAUUGGCAGCGCAGCAGUCUCCAAAACUGAAGGUUGGGGGUUCGAGGCCCUCCUGCCAUGCAA
Molecule: transfer RNA, 76 nt
Filed under: Burkholderia ubonensis
Lineage: Bacteria; Pseudomonadati; Pseudomonadota; Betaproteobacteria; Burkholderiales; Burkholderiaceae
Description: tRNA-Trp
Rfam family: tRNA
About the family: Transfer RNA (tRNA) molecules are approximately 80 nucleotides in length. Their secondary structure includes four short double-helical elements and three loops (D, anti-codon, and T loops).
Source: RNAcentral